This 243-nucleotide ribosomal RNA is filed under the name uncultured bacterium. RNAcentral describes it as "partial 16S ribosomal RNA". It matches the Rfam family "Bacterial small subunit ribosomal RNA", at positions 529 to 771 of the family's 1533-position model. The record is from RNAcentral.
AGGAUCCGAGCGUUAUCCGGAUUUAUUGGGUUUAAAGGGUGCGUAGGCGGCUUCAUAAGUCAGGGGUGAAAUUCGGCAGCUCAACUGUCGGCGUGCCUUUGAUACUGUGGGGCUUGAAUUUGGUCGAAGGAGGCGGAAUGGGACAAGUAGCGGUGAAAUGCAUAGAUAUGUCACGGAACCCCAAUUGCGAAGGCAGCUUUCUAGGCCAACAUUGACGCUGAUGCACGAAAGCGUGGGGAUCGA